AAGUUGUAAAUGUUUGAUUUUUGCAUGCCAUCAUUGUGUAACAGAUUACCCUAACAACUGGUCAGAAUAUGGACAUUACGGCUGGGUACUGUUUUGAUACCAGUUCUGGUACUAUAAUUACACCACCAGCUAUAAAAGAUAUGUUGCGCUACCUUUCUUUAAGGGGUUAGCUAUAUAUAUUCUGCGAAAUACUUAGUUAAUAAUAUUAUUUGCUUUUUGCUUUAUCUCCAUCAUUGGUGCUAGGCACUCAUUGCCGUAGUUUUCCUUUAGUGCACCUCUCUGAGAUCACCUGUCAUACAUACAGUAUGACUCAUACUUCUUUAUCAAAGCAAAUGCAAAAGCUUUCAUUAUGGUUGUGGUCUGUUGUGCUUGUAAUCACAUCAUUCUGCAAUAUAGUGUUGCACGGUAGUAAGGUCUGCAUAUGUUGUGGACCAUGUCCCACAGCCUCCAUGUGGUAAUGCAAGUAGGACUUCUAACCUAUGAGAAACCAAAUGUAGGUGUCUGUCCCUUGUCAUCCAGGUCAUGUCUGUUUUUUUUUUUUUUUUUUUUUUUUUUUUUAACUUUUUGCACACUUAUUAGAUUGAGUGCUAAAUUAAGUUUAUGACUUAAAAUAUAAAUUUAUAUAAUGUUGUGAAUAUAAAAAAUAUAUAUGUUAGGCAUUUCGGUAAAUUUUGUAGCAGGUAUACAAAUGGGUAUACAUGUUAUAAGUGCACAAAACAGACAAGACCAUUGCUCUGUGGGGUUUAGAUUUAAAGCAUAGCAUUUGCACACUAUCUCAUGUGAGGUGGCGAUACUAAAACUGUGUCUUCAUGUACAUUCACUCUGUUACUAAGGCAAGUGGACAUGUGGUGGUUGUAAAUAUGAUAAAGUUGCUCAUGAGAUUGAUGCGUCAUAGCACUUACAAAAAACAGAUGUUUUGACUGUGGUAUCUUUAAUGAGGUGAUCAUAAUAUUUAGUUCUGUGAAGUCAGACAUCUUUGUAAUUAAGUGUGCACAAUUUGGUCUGUUGUUAGUGUCUCUUUGUAAUUUUAUCACUGUGCAAACACAAGCAAAAUAGAGAUACCACAAAAACAUUUUUAAAAUGAUGUUUUGUAGGGGAAUAACUGGCAUCACAUUUAAAAUGUGUGUCAUGAACAAUCUUUUUAAUUAAGUCUUUGUCCAACUAAUUCCAACAUAAUGUUUGAACAACCAUUGUCACGAUGCAUUUGCUGUUGUAUAUUAAAAGAAUUACACACAGCUACAGAAAAUAUAAUGUUGAAAGAAAAAUGUAAAAUUACAAACAGAUUGUUGUAAAAGUUUGGUCUAUACAAGAUAUACUAAUAAACAAGAACCAACGUACUAGCCAUUGAGCUAUCCUGCUAACUUUUAAACAUCCCAAAUUUCAUGUUUCUUGACUUAGAACAAAUGAAACAAAUGAUUGCCAUUUAGAUUUUGCUUGCUGACCAGUAUGCUCUCUUCCGACUAAGGAGGUUUAAAAUGAAUAACAACCAGAGAAAUUCUUAAAGGUUUCUUCAAAAUGUAUGCUAGAUACCACAGAUUUGUGACAUGGAAGAUUAAAUCAGUUGAACAGGUGGAUAGUGUAGCAACAACAGCUGUAAAUCUUUUUUGGAUUCCGAGAAGAAGACUCAGUCAGAUGCCUUUACAGAAGACAUUUCUAGGUCUAUUCACUUAUGCUCAUUAGAUUUAUUGUAAGGCUUGAUAUGGCAGGAAUGACUGAAUGAGCUCUACAGUGUAUGUGUAAAAAAACAGAUAAUCUUGUUUGUCUGUGGUCCAUUGAUGUGGUGAUAGUUUCAAUGGUAAUAAUGCCACAUUUAGCUCAGAUAUUGGGAAUGCAUUUGUUUAUUCUGAUAUAGUUCCACAGAAAUUCUGUUCGUAUUGGCUGAUUAUGCAGAAUAUGAUUUAUAUCUUAUCGCAGCGCUCAGUGACAAUGCAGGAAAUAGCCAGCUAUUCAGGCAGAGAGGCAAAUGGAAAGGUUGUGAGGAAGUGGUGGUGGAUGGGCUUUAAAUGUGUGAUUUGGGAACUCAAACCCAGGGUUUACAACCUCAUAUCAGUAUUCUGUAUUUACAUUUUUUGUAUUAUUUAACGAUGAUGACAAUCAUCCCCAAACUUGAAGCAACUCAACUUGUCUAACCUAGUCGUAUUGAAAUUGCUUGGAACAUACAUGGUAGAAAUGUUUCAUUAAAAAAACUGCUUGCCCCAAGACAUUUGCACUUUUGCAGUUUCAACCAUUUAGCCGGCAGAAAACAGUCAUGUUUAGGUACAAGAUCAAACACCAUUAAGUGAAGCGACUAAUUAGGCAUAGAGAUUUUCAGAUAUUGAAUAUGUUAAAUUGUUGGCUUCAAUCUGUUUAAGUGACAGCAUUCUGUCAUUCAGACAUGGGUCAUUUUUACAUUAAUGUUUCUCAUGGCUUCAUUCAGACAUAUCACUGACACUGAGAGCCAUAGUAUAUACACAGUAUUUGCCAAAUACAAAGCGACAUAUAGUGCAGGAGAUUGUGCUGCCAUUACACAUAACAACGUAUAACAUGUUGUUGUAAUCUUGUGUGUGCAUAUUUGUUAAUGCAACUGCAUGCAGUUCAGACGUACAGAAAAUAAUAACAUCAGUAUUAAAAGGUCUGACCUUGUAUGACUCUCCCUGAGACUUUAACAGGAAAGUGACCAGGGUGCUUAUUCAAACAUGAAGUCAACAUGCUAAGAUGAUGUCAGUUCAAAGGAAAUGAGAGCAUGUUGGAAAGGGGCUAAUGUAGAGUAUUAAAGCUGUAGGUAGGUUUGGUGUGGUAUGUGAUCAGGUAUUACGCUGGGGAUUAGUAAGUAUAGGAAUGGUGUCUUGGGUUUGACGUGGGUAUAAGUCAAGAAGAGCAGGAUGGUUUGUCAGAAGAAAUGCACAUUUACAGUGUUUGGGUGCCAUUCAUUGGCUUGGCAAUUGUUCUCAACUUUCUUCCAUGCCACAACAUGAUGGGAUCUAGCAGUGAUGUUUUUAAAACUAUUUUGGGAGAUAUAUUUUUCUUUUCAUCCAGAGUAAAAUGAAAAGAUCCUGAUCACCUUUUUUAAACAUCUGAAAUCCAGGGACUUUGAGCUGUGCAUAUGAUCAAAUACCUCUAAUUGUCUCUGCAUCGUGUUUAACAUAGUAUCUGUUCAAAUUUUUCUGUAACGAACUUUAAUUUUUUUUCCCAUUGUGGCUGUAUGGACUUGUCUUUUUCAUUUGAUCUAAAGAACUUAGCUGUCCUUAGUUAAUAGCCUAUUGCUGUGAGAAAAUACUGUUACUGUAAAUGUUUAUUUACUGUAGUGAUUAUGCUAUAACAUUCAGGUUGUUGUCCUCAAUCAGAAAUAGCUUGUGUUUCCUUUUAGGAGUCAUAUUUGGAGAAAACUGGUUUCAGACAUUUUUGCUGGUGUACAACCUGACUUUACCUACUUCAGAACAGUACUGUUCAUGUAUGCACUUUCAGAUCCUAAAUAAAAUUGAGAUUAUGGUUUAA
Long non-coding RNA from Amphiprion ocellaris (clown anemonefish), 3474 nucleotides. The record is from Ensembl. Lineage: Eukaryota; Metazoa; Chordata; Actinopteri; Pomacentridae.